Molecule: long non-coding RNA, 6313 nt
Organism: Gallus gallus (chicken)
Lineage: Eukaryota; Metazoa; Chordata; Aves; Galliformes; Phasianidae
Source: Ensembl
CGGCGCGACGGUACAAACGGGGGAGGGACACAUUCCUCAGCUCGUCUCUCUCUGUGUGCUGUUACCGGGAGGGGUGAGUCAAUUCCUUUUGAUAUCUUUCCCUCGUGUGCUAUUUCUCAAAUAAAGGCUCUAUCAUUUCCUUCAUUUGUUUUACAUUUUGGCGAGCCAGGCAGCCAAAUAUCUUUAAAGAUACCCAAUUAUAAGCCUCUUAAAAUAAUUACCAUGACAUUUUUGAACAAUUUCAUGGGAUGGUUUGGACGGGGAAAGGCUAGCCCCAUAAGUGAAGUUUUGCCAGGGCACAUCCCGGGAUUCCUAGGAUCCCCAGAUCACAGGAUUGUUUGUAUCGUUGAAAAAGGGGGCCCCCUACGGGAUGGAGGAAAUGUUCAGGAAUCCCCAGCCCGCCUGGCUGAGUAUUUCAGUAGUCUAAACAAAAAUGUACUCACUACAUGAGAACGACAGUUAGCUGCCUCCACAGUGGCAUGGCCGCUGCUGAUGGCCUUGAACCGGCUAAAUAUAACUGAAGAGAUUCUCACUGAUGAAAAUCAACUAUUACGUGACCAUGUGGAAGAACUGGAAAAACAGGUUGCAAUUUUGAGAGGGAAAAAACUUAACCCUGUAAUUCCCGUACAAAAAAUCCGAAACAUCUCUCUAGAAAUUACUGGAGAUCCUAUACAAGACAAUCCACAUGAACUGGAUUCAGAAAAUGAAAGCACUAAAAAGUCAGAUCUUGAGGCUCCACUAGAGCUAGAUCCCUCUGAGAUCCGACCAGUUGUAACUCAAAAAACAAAAAAAAACGCAGGGCAGGCCAGCGGGGCUGCCCCCUGACCAGUGGCCCCCUGCCCAGAGCACACUACAUGUAACAGCUCGCCCAUACACGGCAGCUGAAUUAAUGGAUUUAGUACAACUGUUUAGACAAAAACCGAGAGUGUGCCAGCGUGGUUGCUCAGACUAUAUGACAUGGGGGCAGAAAGAGUUGUGGUGAAUGGACCAGAAAUCUCAAAACUGGCAUCCAUUACUACUCACCCGGCCCUCAGGCAAAGACUAUAUGUGGCUGUGCAACACAAUAAAGAAAAUCAUUCACUGAUUACAUGGUUAAUGGCUGCAUGCCAUGCGACAUGGGCAAAUGAAACGGACAUACCAUUAAAUACCGGCCUAUGGUCCUCUAUGGAGGACUUACAAAAUUACAUCUGAGAAUUAGGUAUGAAGGAGGCAAUUUAUGAGGAGAAUUUUGAGAGCCCAGAUAUGAUAAAAUUUUCAGCAGGAAUGAGGGACCUCAUCCUGCAGCAGGCUCCACCACAUCAGUAUGGUACUUUGGUAUCCAUACUGAAUCCCCUAGUGGCCUCAGAGACCAUUAUACAACAGGCCGCCCAAUUGGUGGCAGAUCUGGGGGAGACAGAGCGCCUGCACGCCAGGCGCAAUGUCCGAAUGGUGGUGGAAAAGUCGGACAUCCAUCCACCACCACGACCUAGGAGACCUGCCCCUAAUGUAAUUCAAUCUGGACCCAUCAGAGUCUCAAGAAAACAAAUGUUCACUGACCUGAUUAGGGCAGGAGUACAAUUUCAAAAGAUCGAUGGACAGCCUAACCAGGUCUUAUUACAACUAUGGAAACAGUUACCAAACAGUCAGAGAUUCCGACGCUCCCCUAAAAGGGAAGGAGUUAGACUCAUAGAACGGAUUCCACAAAACACGUGGAAUAUAGAAGACUUCAUAGUCCCAUCAAAAAAACGUAAACCUCCUUAAGUGGCCCGGGUAGCCACAGUCGAGCCAUCAGAGGAAAAAGACUUAGGGAUUGCAGAGCUGAUGGCAUGACAGGGGAGCCAAAAUUCCCCAAGACUAGGGUCUCCAGAGGAGACCGGAGACCCUACGUUGAACUAAUGAUUCAUUGGUCCUGAAAGAAUGUGCAGCGGGUUAUGGCAUUAGUAGAUACUGGGGCAGAAACAUCAAUUAUAUAUGGUGACCCAAACCAAUUUUCAGGCUCUAAGGCAAUGAUAGGUGGGUUCGGGGGGCAGAUGAUCCCCGUAACACAAACAUGGUUGAAAUUGGGGGUUGGGCGUCUACCACCCCAGGAGUACAAGGUGUCUAUCGUCCCAGUUCCAGAGUACAUAUUGGGGAUUUAUAUCCUGUCGGGUUUGACUCUCCAAACCACUGUGGGAGAGUUCAGAUUAAGGGAAAGAUGUAUUAGUAUCCAGGCAGUGGACUUUUCAAGUUCUACCUCAGGGGUACGUGCAUUCACCUACUUUUUGUCAUAAUUUGGUGGCACGUGACUUGGCAAAUUGUAACAAACCAUCGACUGUCAAAAUGUUCCACUACAUCGAUGAUUUGAUGUUAACGUCUGACUCAAUCGAGGCAUUAGAGAAGACAGUACUAUCAUUAAUUACUUAUUUACAGGAAAAAGGAUGGGCUAUAAACCCACAAAAAGUACAAGGACCAGGGCUAUCAGUUAAAUUCCUGGGUGUUGUCUGGUCAGGUAAGACUAAGAUGUUACCCAGUGCAAUCAUUGAUAAGAUCCAAGUGUUCCCCUGCAACUUCCUACGAAACCGAAGCAGUUGCAGGAGUUUUUGGGUAUAUUAGGAUAUUGGCAAUCCUUUAUUCCCCACUUAGCACAACUGCUAAAACCCUUAUAUCGAUUAACAAAAAAAGGCCAAGUAUGGGAUUGGGGUAGAACAGAACAAGAAGCCUUCCAGCAAGCAAAAAUAGCUGUUAAACAGGCCCAGGCGCUAGGUAUAUUUGAUCCGACCCUUCCAGCCGAACUGGAUGUGCAUGUAACCCAAGAAGGGUUUGGCUGGGGGCUGUGGCAGCGCCAGAGUUCUGUUCGAAUCCCAAUUGGGUUCUGGUCACAGAUUUGUCAUGGAGCAGAAGAGAGAUACAGCAUGGUUGAAAAGCAGUUAUUGGCUACCUAUUCUGCAUUGCAGGCAGUAGAACAAAUAACUCAGACCGCAGAGGUUAUUGUCAAAACAACUUUACCAAUUCAGGGGUGGGUGAAAGACCUAACUCACAUUCCUAAGACCGGGGUGGCCCAAUCACAAACAGUAGCACGCUGGGUUGCCUAUCUUAGCCAAAGAAGCCGCCUGUCAUCAUCUCCACUGAAGGAAGAACUUCAAAAGAUACUUGGGCCAGUAACAUAUCACAGCGAGACACCUGAGGAAAUAGUGGUUACUUGUCCAGAAAAGAGUCCUGUACAGGAGGGGAAAUACCCUAUCCCAGAAGAUGCCUGGUUUACAGAUGGAUCCAGCAGAGGGAACCCAAGUAGGUGGUGAGCUGUUGCAUACCAUCCCUCAACUGAAACAAUAUGGUUUGAAGAAGGGGAUGGACAAAGUAGCCAGUGGGCUGAGCUACGAGCUGUGUGGAUGGUGAUAACUCAAGAACCUGGCAACAGUGCACUAAACAUCUGCACAGAUAGUUGGGCAGUCUACCGAGGGCUCAUGCUCUGGAUAGCACAGUGGGUCACUCAGGAUUGGACAAUCCAUGCCCGACCUAUCUGGGGCAAAGAUAUGUGGGCUGAUAUAUGGAACGUGGUUAGGCACAGGACCGUACGAGCAUACCACGUCUCUGGACAUCAACCCUUGCAGUCACCAGGCAAUGAUGAAGCUGACACACUGGCUCAAGUCCGAUGGUUGGGAAGUACACCAUAAGAAGACAUAGCUCACUGGCUGCAUCGGAAAUUACGGCAUGCAGGACAGAAAACCAUGUGGGCAGCAGCUAAAGCAUGGGGGUUGCCCAUACAGUUACCAGAUAUUGUCCAGGCAUGUCAGGACUGUGACGCUUGCUCGUGAAUGAGACCAAGACCUCUGCCGGAAACUACGGCCCAUCUCGCUAGAGGACACAACCCAUUACAGCGAUGGCAGAUUGAUUAUAUAGGUCCCCUUCCUCGAUCUGAGGGGGCCAGAUAUGCCCUAACUUGUGUAGAUACAGCGAGUGGACUGAUGCAAGCCUAUCCUGUAGCAAAGGCAAACCAAGCCUAUACCAUCAAAGCUCUAACUAGAUUGAUGGCAUCAUACGGGACUCCUGAGGUUAUUGAGAGUGAUUAAGGUACACAUUUCACAGGUGCAACUGUGCAGAAGUGGGCUGAAGACAAUAACAUUGAAUGGCGGUUUCACCUGCCCUACAAUCAACGGGAGCAGGCCUAAUAGAAAGAUACAAUGGGAUCCUGAAGGCUGCUCUGAAGGCAGAUUCACAGUCCUUGCAGGGGUGGACCAAAAGGCUUUAUGAAACCCCGCGAGACUUGAAUGAGAGACCAAGAGAUGGCAGACUCAGUGCUUUAAAAAUGCUGCAGACAACUUGGGCCUCCCCACUUAGGAUACAAAUUACAAGCAAGGACACCUCACUCAAGCCACAAGUUGGCACCAUGAAUAAUCUUCUGCUCCCUGCCCCUGAUGACCUAGAGCCUGGGAGACACAAGGUAAAAUGGCCUUGGAAGGUGCAAGCAGGACCAAAAUGGUGUGGUUUCCUUGCACCUUGGGGGAGAUUGUUAGAGGUUGGGGGAUCAGUAAACCCUUCAGUAAUCGGUGAAUGGCCAACAGAGGUAGUAGUUGACACCCCUGUUUUCAUUGCAAAGGGGACAUUAAUCAUGUCCAUGUGGCAAAUUAGAACCCCCCCUUUGGUACCCGAUAUAGUGAUUCAGUCGCAGAUUUCAGGCCAAAGAGUGUGGUAUUGAAGGCCAGGACGUGCCCCGAUACAGGCAGAGGUGUUGACUCAAGACUGAAAUACAGCCUGCAUCUUACCAUGGAGGGCAGACCUACCCCUCCUCGUACCUAUUAAACAUCUGUUUUACUCCCCUUGAGGUUUUAAGUUCACAGGAUGGCCAGCAGGAGCAACAUCACUCAAACACGCUUAUGAGGAAACAUCAUGACACCCUGUGACGCACUGCUGAACUUUUGGGAACUGGAGAGCAUGAAUCAGAAGCGCUACUGGUCCUUGAAAAAGAUACGCCUUGAGAAAGAAGAUCAAGUACUGGCCCAACAGAACCGUGAAGGGGACUGCCACUGAUUGCCUUUAUUGUCUUGACAUCCUAUAUUGCGGCGGGUGUUGUGUAUGCGUCGCGAUGUGCAUUGUGUCUUGGGCCACCAGGUUGCAGGGGCUCACCCCCUACCUGCUCAGUCAUUGGUUCAUGCUGUGAAGGGGUGGAGUGUAGUGGAAUUCCAGGGUCACAGCCUGAACCAAUGGGUGGGCUAUGUGAGAGCGUGAGUGCAGCAGCACGACGGUACGAACAGGGGAGGGACACAUUCCUCAGCUCAUCUCUCUCUGCGCACUGUUAUCAGGAGGGGUGAGUCAAUUCCGUUUGAUAUCUUUCCCUCGUGUGCCUAUUUCUCAAAUAAAGGCUCUAUCAUUACCUUCAUUUGUUCUACACCCAUGAACAAAUUCAAUGCUUUUUUCCUCAUUCCCUCCUCAACUAUGCCUUCAGGCCUUCUAGCCUCCACUAAGUGAAAAUGCACUGAUUACCCUUAAAAUUGAAUUAAAGUGCAAAAUAAUGUAAAGCAAGUGAAAAUCUGACCCAGUUUUGAACCUUGAAUUUGAUCCUUGAAAUGUCUGCCCUCUUUUCUUUCUCACUGCCCUGCAAAUAGUAGUUUGGGAGUGUCACUACCUGAAGUCUAUCACUGUUGAAAUCCACACACAUUCAUUUCAUCUCCUCAUCUUUUGUCUUGCAGCCUCCUCCUCUAUGCCUUUGCAAGCUCUCACACCAAAACAAACAAUUGUGUUGCCUAUCCUUUUUUCUGCCCAGACCUCCCAGACUUGAUCUCAGAAUCAAACUAUUCCUCUUCCAAGUCCUUCUGUUAAUUAGCACUGACCCCUGCCCAGCUCAUGACAGCUUUUUGACAGUUCUUUUCAUGGUUCUGCUGAGAAGAGCAGCACAAACACAUCAAGCAGGUGUUUUUGUAGAUGAUUCUACAAAAACAAACAAACAAACAAAACAAACCUGCCCUUAAUUAUACCUGAUACCAUGGUGCAGAAAAAGAAAUAAAAAGACUAACAUGGCACAGAAACAGUGUGAAGCAAAAUAUGUUGUGUGGGAUUCCAUACAUAAUAUAUCUUAUAUUUUCAACCUUCUGAAUUAUUCUGUUUACCCUCAGAAUCCUUUUACUUAUCCUUGGUGGUCUGAAAUUCCUGUCUCAAAUUAUUUGGCUUAGCAAUAUUUUAUAAUACUUUUGCAAAAAGGACAUGUACAUAUGAAUUAUCAAAUUACUGAAUUACUUACUGUAAAGUGUAAAACCACCUUUUCCACUUGUAUUACUUAUCACCUGAUUUGGAAAGUGUUUCUAUCAAUAGCUACCAAGUUCUGAUUUAGCAGCAGGAUCACUUUCUAAACCAUUUCCCA